Molecule: ribosomal RNA, 1381 nt
Filed under: uncultured bacterium
Lineage: Bacteria
Description: 16S ribosomal RNA
Rfam family: Bacterial small subunit ribosomal RNA
Source: RNAcentral
UUCGCCCUUAGAGUUUGAUCCUGGCUCAGGACGAACGCUGGCGGCGUGCCUAACACAUGCAAGUCGAACGGAGAUAUUCGGAGCUUGCUUUGGAUAUCUUAGUGGCGGACGGGUGAGUAACGCGUGAGUAACCUGCCUCUCAGAGGGGGAUAACGUUCUGAAAAGAACGCUAAUACCGCAUGAUAUUGCGAAACCGCAUGGUUUUGCAAUCAAAGGAGCAAUCCGCUGAGAGAUGGACUCGCGUCCGAUUAGCCAGUUGGCGGGGUAAUGGCCCACCAAAGCGACGAUCGGUAGCCGGACUGAGAGGUUGAACGGCCACAUUGGGACUGAGACACGGCCCAGACUCCUACGGGAGGCAGCAGUGGGGGAUAUUGCACAAUGGGGGAAACCCUGAUGCAGCAACGCCGCGUGUGGGAAGAAGGUUUUCGGAUUGUAAACCACUGUUCUCAGGGACGAUAAUGACGGUACCUGAAGAAAAAGCUCCGGCUAACUACGUGCCAGCAGCCGCGGUAAAACGUAGGUCACAAGCGUUGUCCGGAAUUACUGGGUGUAAAGGGAGCGCAGGCGGGAAGACAAGUUGGAAGUGAAAUCUAUGGGCUCAACCCAUAAACUGCUUUCAAAACUGUUUUUCUUGAGUAGUGCAGAGGUAGGCGGAAUUCCCGGUGUAGCGGUGGAAUGCGUAGAUAUCGGGAGGAACACCAGUGGCGAAGGCGGCCUACUGGGCACCAACUGACGCUGAGGCUCGAAAGUGUGGGUAGCAAACAGGAUUAGAUACCCUGGUAGUCCACGCCGUAAACGAUGAUUACUAGGUGUUGGAGGAUUGACCCCUUCAGUGCCGCAGUUAACACAAUAAGUAAUCCACCUGGGGAGUACGACCGCAAGGUUGAAACUCAAAGGAAUUGACGGGGGCCCGCACAAGCAGUGGAGUAUGUGGUUUAAUUCGACGCAACGCGAAGAACCUUACCAAGUCUUGACAUCCUGCGACGAUGCUGGAAACAGUAUUUUCCUUCGGGACGCAGAGACAGGUGGUGCAUGGUUGUCGUCAGCUCGUGUCGUGAGAUGUUGGGUUAAGUCCCGCAACGAGCGCAACCCUUACUGUCAGUUACUACGCAAGAGGACUCUGGCAGGACUGCCGUUGACAAAACGGAGGAAGGUGGGGAUGACGUCAAAUCAUCAUGCCCUUUAUGACUUGGGCUACACACGUACUACAAUGGCGUUAAACAAAGAGAAGCAAGACCGCGAGGUGGAGCAAAACUCAGAAACAACGUCCCAGUUCGGACUGCAGGCUGCAACUCGCCUGCACGAAGUCGGAAUUGCUAGUAAUCGUGGAUCAGCAUGCCACGGUGAAUACGAACCCGGGCCUUGCACUCACCGCCCGUCA